AGAACUAGACAGAGAUGGUGAUUACACAACACUGAUACACUAAGUGCCACCAACUGUUCCCUUUACAACAGUUAGCUCUGUGGUAAUGUCUUUUAAAAUAAGACAAAAACCAGGGCCCCUGGGUGGCUCAGGGAUUGAGCAUCUGCCUUUGGCUCAGGGUGUGACCCCAGGGUCCUGGGAUCGAGUCCCGCAUCGGGCUCCCUGCAUGGAGCCUGCUUCUCCCUCUGCCUGUGUCUCUACCUCUCUCUAUGUGUCUCUCAUGGAUAAAUAAAAUCUUAAAAAUAAUAUAAAUAAAACAAAAACCAAUAAAAGCCUUUUAAGUGUCCCAAGACCUGGACCUCCCUGUCUCGAGGCCAGGAGACUUCACACUGCUAAGACCUACUGGGACUGCGGGGGAAGCCAAGCAGAUAAAGCACUCAUCCCUUUUGUGUUAAGUGCAUAGGGCUAGAUUCUCUUAAGGCCAAUACAUAAAGCGAUGCUUAGCCAGUGGGAUAGAAAGUAUCCAGAGGCAGCAUAUGACCAUACAAGAACUCUCUUAACUGAUGAUCUAGGAAAGACAGUUACAGAUAUGCAGCUACCAAUUAGUCACAGAAAAUCUGAGUAAAUAAAGGCAGCCAUGGUUACACAAUACAUAAAACUUUUGCCAUCUAGGUGGCUUUCUGCCAAGGCUGUCUUCCCCGCCUUUACCUGGGAUCAGCUCAAUACCUAGCAUAGAUGGGGUGUGUGGGCACACUGGGACUCCACUGGGACUGACCUGGCUGGGUGGGUAGCAGGCUGCAGGAAAGCAGCACCUUGUCCUGAUGACAUGGGGACUCCCAACAAAGAUCUUUGUAUAAAACCAGAACCCUUUCAGAGCCAGAACAUUUUAGAACAAAACCUGUGAAACCCUACCUGGUUUUUUGAAAAUACCAGUGAAAUGGAUAAACCUCUAGCUACAACAGUCAAGGAUAAAGAAGAGAAAACGCAGAUUAUGAAUAUCAAGAAUGAAAGCAGAGUCAUCACUACAGAUCCUACAGACUGUGAAAGGGAAAUAAUAUUAUCAACUGUAUUCUAAUGAAUUUGGCAUCAUAGAGGAAAUGAAAACAAUUCUAUGGAACAUAUAAAUUACUAAAACUGACUCACAUAGAAAGAGAAAACCCAAGUAGCCCCAUAACAACGAAAGAAAUUGAAUUCAUGAUUUAAAACCUCACAAAGAAAAUUUCAGGCUAAAAAGACUUCACUGGUGUGUUCUAGCCAACAUUUAAUGGAGAAAUAUUAUCCUAAACAAACAUUCAUAUGCUGCUGGUCAGAAUAUAAAAAAGUACAACUGCUCUGGAUAAGUUUGGCAAUUCUGAAAACACUAAACACAUUUACAACCCAGCCAAGGAUCUACCCAAAAGAAAUGAGAAAACAGACCUGUGAGCAAUGCUUUUAGCAGAUUCAUUCAGACUGGCCAAAAAUGAGGAAAUAGCCCAGGGGCCCGGCAGCAGUAGGAAUCCAUGGUGUUGUAUCCACACAACAAAUAAUCCUUGGCAAUAGAUGUUAAUGAUACACAUAACAACACACCUGAACCUCAAAAACAUGCUAAGCUAAUGAAUCCAGACACAAAAGAAUAUACACCAAAUGAUGCCAUUUAUACGGAACUCUAAAGAGCAAAAGAAGUCUCAACUGCAGUGACAGAAAAUAGGUCAGUGGUUACAUUACCUGGGGCCGUGUUGGGGAGGGGUUGACUGGGACGUAGAACAAGGGAAUACUUGGAGGGCCGGAAACACUCUAUAUCUCAAUUGCAUGGUAGGUACCCUGGUGUACACACUUGUCAAAAAACCAUCAAGAUAUACACUUAAAGUAGCUGCAUUCUAUUUUAUAUAAAUUGCAACGGACUCUCCAAAUAAAGCUCUGUUUUGUAGGUUUUUUUU
RNAcentral lists this long non-coding RNA (1895 nucleotides) under Canis lupus familiaris (dog). RNAcentral describes it as "lncRNA (ENSCAFG00000058091.1, ENSCAFG00805007235.1, ENSCAFG00845024982.1)". The record is from RNAcentral. Lineage: Eukaryota; Metazoa; Chordata; Mammalia; Carnivora; Canidae.